UACGGGGGGAGCAAGCGUUGUUCGGAUUUACUGGGCGUAAAGGGCGCGUAGGCGGUCAGCACAAGUCAGUUGUGAAUCUCCGGGCUUAACUCGGAAAGGUCAACUGAUACUGUGCGACUAGAGUGCGGAAGGGGCAACUGGAAUUCUCGGUGUAGCGGUGAAAUGCGUAGAUAUCGAGAGGAACACCUGCGGCGAAGGCGGGUUGCUGGGCCGACACUGACGCUGAUGCGCGAAAGCCAGGGGAGCGAACGGG
Molecule: ribosomal RNA, 253 nt
Filed under: uncultured bacterium
Lineage: Bacteria
Description: partial 16S ribosomal RNA
Rfam family: Bacterial small subunit ribosomal RNA
Source: RNAcentral